This 861-nucleotide unclassified non-coding RNA is filed under the name Leishmania donovani. Its description in RNAcentral is "gene:unknown". The record is from RNAcentral. Lineage: Eukaryota; Euglenozoa; Kinetoplastea; Trypanosomatida; Trypanosomatidae.
ACGAUGCGCCAGCUCAACGGAACGAGUGCUUUAUGCUCAUCGCUUCACCAGCCACCACCCCGACAGAGACCGCCACCGUCAAGCAUGUUGGGUGCACCGAAUCCGGCAGCAGGCGAAUUCAGACGCCGUCUUGCACGGCUUCAGGGGUGAAGGGCGGACUAGGCAGCAGAGGCACUAACGGGCCGAAGAUCUUGGCAGCCCUCUCCGCGUCGAGGGGCAGCACCAGUCGCAAGAACACUCAAAAAACUCGGAAGACAGGGCUGCCCGUCGGGUGGCCGGUGGAGGGACAAGACAAUGAGGUGCUCACAGGGGCGGAAGCUUGCCACGCGGGAAGACGACACGCCACGGGGCUGUAUUUUCUUCUGCUAGAGUGCAUGCCAACGCAGCUGUGUUGCGCGUGCACACGGACUGGCAGCUUGUCGGCUUGGUUGCCCUGAUCAUGUGCAUACGAUGCGCACGACGAGAUUGCAUCCAGCCGACACACCGCCUUCAGGGCCUUCUGGGUGUAGACGUGGCAAGAGCGAUCCUUCGCUAUCAGAUUCAGGGGAGUCCCUCACUGCCACGCAGUUCUUCCAGACUGCGAUCCUCGGGCUAGAACGCACGGGGACGCUGGCUAUGGAGGGAGGUGAGUUCGAGGCCCCAGUGCCACAGAAGAAGUGUGCCGAACGAGACGUGGAUAAGAGGAACGUGUGCGAGUGCGGUGGACAGCGCGAGCGAGUCGCUAGGCGACGCGUGACCAGAAGGAGGGAGUGCAUGUGUUUAUUCUCUCUCGUCCAGCUUCAGCACGCGUGGCCACGGAGGAGGCGUGCAAAGGCGAAACGGAGACUCUUCUCUCUGAUUCCCUCCCGAUUCAGGCGACUG